RNAcentral lists this long non-coding RNA (715 nucleotides) under Bos indicus x Bos taurus (hybrid cattle). RNAcentral's name for it is "lncRNA (ENSBIXG00000012783.1)". The record is from RNAcentral. Lineage: Eukaryota; Metazoa; Chordata; Mammalia; Artiodactyla; Bovidae.
AUGGAGCUGAAGGGAAGCUCAUUCAUCUUCAUCGGAAUCCUACCAGCUCUGGCGUCUUGGCACCCACACCUGGGAUCAGCUCUUGCCUUGUGGAGGCCAAAGGUGCCUCUUUCCCAGGACCCCGUGUCUGUGGCCUGGGCCCCGUGCAGGAGGCGGGCUGGCCCCUUCGUUCACAAGGGUGCACACGGCUGUCUGGUUGGGAUUCUCCAACGUGAGGAGGGAGCCCUGGCAGCAGCUCUUGGAGGGGGCACGGGAUGCUCCCCUCCCUGUGAAGACCCUCUGGUGGCAAGAGGUUGCCCACAGCUCUCUAAGCCCGGCCUGUGUUGGGCUUUGCCCCACAGCCAGUACCAUCGGGGGCCGGAGCAGUUCUUACGGUGCAUUUGGGACCUGGGACCUGGAGCGCGGGCUACGAGGACUGGGGAGCCCUUCCCACAAGUCUGCCAACAGCUAAAGCAAAGAGGAAUUGCUUUCCUGAAGUCUUCUGGUCCUCAGAAGUCCAGACACCCAAAGGGCCUUCCAAGAGCGAGGGUACCGGCUGGCAGGUGAGCUCUUAAUUGUUAAUUGAUAUCACUUGUACAUGGAAUCUAAAAAAAAUGAUACAAAACAGAAACAGACUCACAGAUUCAGAAACAAAUUUAUGGUUACCAAAGGGGAAACAUGUAGGGAGAGGGAUAAUUAGGAGUUUGGGAUUAAUGUAUAUACACUUGUUGUUCAG